UUUAGGUUACAAAAGUGGAAAAAAGAAAAACUAUGUAAGAGUCUGCAUGGAGAAGAUAAUUUCUUCCAAGUACCAUGAAAUAUGAAGGUUUAUUUCAAGUUACCAUUUGAAAUGGGAGGUACACAUACAUUUUACUGCAUCAAAUCCUGUAAGCACUUUUGUUGAGGUCAUUAAUUAUGGGUUUUCUUUUUUCCACUUUUGUAACCUAAA
This 210-nucleotide unclassified non-coding RNA is filed under the name Hevea brasiliensis (rubber tree). The record is from RNAcentral. Lineage: Eukaryota; Viridiplantae; Streptophyta; Magnoliopsida; Malpighiales; Euphorbiaceae.